RNAcentral lists this ribosomal RNA (368 nucleotides) under Chorebus sp. RNAcentral's name for it is "partial 16S ribosomal RNA". The record is from RNAcentral. Lineage: Eukaryota; Metazoa; Arthropoda; Insecta; Hymenoptera; Braconidae.
AUUAAUAAGGUCUUUUAAAAAAAAUUAUGCUGUUAUCCCUAAGGUAAUUAAUUUUAAUAAUUUAAAUUUUAAGAUUAAAUAAUCAUUAAUUAAUGUUUUUUAUAAAAAAAAUUUUUUAAAUUUUUAAAUUACCCCAAUUAAAUUUAUAUAUUAAAUUAAAUAAAAUAAUAAUAAUUUUUAUUUAAAAUAUAAAUUAAAUUCUAUAGGGUCUUGUCGUCUUUUAAAUAUAUUUAAGUUUUUUAACUUAAAUAAAAAUUUAAAUUUUAUUUAAUUGAAACAGUUUAUAUUUCAUUUAAUCAUUCAUUCUAGUUUUUAAUUAAAAAACAAAUUAUUAUGCUACCUUUGUACAGUUAUAAUUCUGCAGCCAU